This is a long non-coding RNA of Dreissena polymorpha, 559 nucleotides long. RefSeq lists it as uncharacterized. The record is from RefSeq and is a predicted model, not a curated record. Lineage: Eukaryota; Metazoa; Mollusca; Bivalvia; Myida; Dreissenidae. The transcript has 3 exons.
CAUUGAUAUGGCCAAAGAUUGCGUUUAAGCGAUAUAUACUUCUCAGGUUUGCAUUUAUUCAUUUAUUGUGUGGUGUUGAACGAAGCAAAACGAUGAACAAGCCUUUGGUAUUAUGUGCUGUUGUUCUAAUAGCAUCAGGUAUGUCUGAAGGCCGUGCAGUUUUCGAACACAGAUUUGGCGUGGCGGAGGGGGAAGCAUGCGGCGUGUUUACUGUGUGCGAGCCCGGACUAUCUUGCCUACCCUCACCAGGGAUAGGUUCCGGCCGUUGUAGAAUACCGGAUAUGAUAUUUUAAAUCUUGAUGGAAGAAGAAAACAUCGCCACAAUGAUUUGAUAACCUGAAACAAACGUUAACCUGUAAACGGAUAUGUGCUGCUUUUUUGUUUACAAAGUUUACAUUGUGUCAUAUGACACGUUAUUUGUGUUUAUUAGAACUGUGUAAACUAAACAUGUCAAACAUGUCCAUAUGAUUUUGUCACAAUUUACAGUCAACAAUUAUUCAAGAAAGGACAAUGUCAUUUAGUGAUAAGUUUUACCAAUGUUUAUCAUAAUAAAAUUGCA